AAUAUCCGCCCCCCGUUGAAAACGCCCUUAAACCCCCUCUAGGGACAAGGAGCUGGUAUCAGGCACCACAACUUGCCCAAGACACCUAGCUAUGCCACACCCACAAGGGAAUUCAGCAGUGAUUAACAUUGAGCAUUAGCGAAAGCUUGACUCAGUUAGAGUAAAAUAGAGCCGGGKAAUCUGGUGCCAGCCGCCGCGGUUACACCAUGUGGCUCAAAUUGACCUCCCCUUCGGCGUAAAGCGUGAUUAAAGGGGCUGAAUUAAAACUGAGCUGUGACACGCCUGUUUAUAAGAAACCCAAAACGAAAGUUACCCUAAUUCAAUCAACUUGAACUCACGACAGYCGGGAAACAAACUGGGAUUAGAUCCCCACUAUGCCCAGYCGUAAACUUUUAUUUACAUCUUAAUCGCCANGGAACUACNAGCUUAWGCUUAAAACCBVMMSGKUGUUCCUCANGGGCCCAUAUCCCCUAGAAGAGCCUGUCGUNCAAUCGAUAAUCCACGWUUAACCUCACCAUUUUUAGUUAAUCAGCCUGUAUACCUCCGUCGUCAGCUUACCACGUGAGCGCCUAUUAGUGAGCUUAAUGUCCCCACCAAUACGUCAGGUCAAGGUGCAGCAAAUGAAAUGGGAAGAGAUGGGCUACACUUUCUAAAUUAGAAAAAACGAAAAACUACAUAUGAAACCUAGUUUGAAGGCGGAUUUAGCAGUAAAAAGGAAUCAGCAUGUCCAUUUUAACUCGGCACUGGGGUGUGUACACACCGCCCGUCACCCUCUUCAAAGCUAAAACUAAGUCUUUAACAAAUAAGAGCAUAAUAUGAAGAGGCAAGUCGUAACAUGGUAAGUAUACCGGAAGGUGUGCUUGGAAACGUUAUGUGGCUUAACCUAAA
RNAcentral lists this non-coding RNA (888 nucleotides) under Ingerophrynus biporcatus (Sunda ridge-headed toad). RNAcentral's name for it is "partial 12S ribosomal RNA". It matches the Rfam family "Bacterial small subunit ribosomal RNA", at positions 165 to 1533 of the family's 1533-position model. The record is from RNAcentral. Lineage: Eukaryota; Metazoa; Chordata; Amphibia; Anura; Bufonidae.